Strongylocentrotus purpuratus (purple sea urchin) is the source of this 1365-nucleotide long non-coding RNA. RefSeq lists it as uncharacterized. The transcript has 3 exons. The record is from RefSeq and is a predicted model, not a curated record. NCBI's taxonomy places the organism in Eukaryota, Metazoa, Echinodermata, Echinoidea, Camarodonta, Strongylocentrotidae.
AGCUGCAUCAUGCACACAAUAUUGCAGUGCGGCGUGAUCGAGUUUCACCAAAAUUGAUAGAGACAAUAUCGUAUUUGAUUGAUAAAAUAAUGUAAUUGAUUUGUAACAACGUCUAUCUUCUGGAGAGGAAAGCAUCUGUCGAUUUUGUCUUAAAUGCAUUGAGGAGCGUGAUGAAGAGGACACCACUGUGCAGAUGAAUGCUGGAGGUUGAUGAUCAGUGUUUGCAGUGAAUCACAAUCCGUCCAUCUGCUGUCUGGACCUCCCUGCUCUGAUUAGGACAACCCGUCCUGUGCUGCACUUGAACGGUUGCUAAAACAUCUGCAGUGAGCCACAAUCAGUUCAACUCUUCUCUGACCACCCUGCCCUGAUCUGAACAACCCGUCCAGUACUGCACUCCAACGGUUACUAAAACAUCUGCAGCGAGCCACAAUCAGUUCAACUCUCCUCUGACCACCCUGCCCUGAUCUGAACAACCCGUCCAGUACCGCACUCCAACGGUUGCUAAAACAUCUGCAGUGAGCCACAAUCAGUUCAACUCUUCUCUGACCACCCUACCCUGAUCUGAACAACCCGUCCUGUGCUGCACUUGAACGGUUGCUAAAACAUCUGCAGCGAGCCACAAUCAGUUCAACUCUCCUCUGACCACCCUGCCCUGAUCUGAACAACCCGUCCUGUGCUGCACUCCAACGGUUGCUAAAACAUCUGCAGCGAGCCACAAUCAGUUCAACUCUCCUCUGACCACCCUGCCCUGAUCUGAACAACCCGUCCUGUGCUGCACUCCAACGGUUGCUAAAACAUCUGCAGCGAGCCACAAUCAGUUCAACUCUCCUCUGACCACCCUACUCUGAUUUGAACAACCAGUCCAGUACUGCAUUCCAAAGGUUACUAAAAUAUCUGCAGCGAGGCACAAUCAGUUCCAGCUCAUCUCUGGACCUCCCUGCUCUGUCAGGGAUUUGUUGGAGUAUGAUAGCAGGUGCUCCAUUACAUCCCGCUCUGGAGACGAAUGCGUGAAAACAAUCCAUGCUGUCGAUGAACCUUCGUCUUUGUCUAGCUCCUCACAAAACCCUUCAGCCUUGAGAUAUCUAGAGUUCAUCGGGUUCUCCAUAUCUGUGGUGUUGGUUAUGGUUAUUAGUUGAACACAAAGACAGAAACUUAAUUUUCUUUUUUUCUUCAGAAUUGAAUUGAAUCAUCAAUUGGUAUUACUAUAAGAGAGACAAAUUAUACUGCCCCUGUUGUGCAUAAUCUGUGCUAACGGUACAAAAUCAUCUUUCUGUAUCCCUUUUCCCCCUCUGUUUUUUCUCCCUUGCUCUUUCCUUCUCUUCUCUCUCUGUCUCCCUCCCCCUCUCAUCCUCCCCUUCUCUAUCU